This 1153-nucleotide long non-coding RNA is filed under the name Lathyrus oleraceus (garden pea). Its description in RNAcentral is "Pisum sativum (pea) long non-coding RNA (PSAT_LNC032057)". The record is from RNAcentral. Lineage: Eukaryota; Viridiplantae; Streptophyta; Magnoliopsida; Fabales; Fabaceae.
GGGUGCACAUGUGAAAAUAGGUGAACUAGCAAAUGAAUAAACUAUGGGCCUAAAGCCCAUUACCAACAAAACCUAAACUAAUUGUAUCAUAAUAAUAAUAGAUAAAUUAAAAACAAUAUGAAAAAUAACAAGAUAAUUACAAAAAAAAUGGUACUGCUUAUGGCAAGGGAGCAACGGUAUUUGGAGAGUAGGAUUUCAAAUUCAAAAUCUUCGAAUCAGCCUUUGACACAUGGCAUUGAUAGAAAAUGACAAAAAAUCUCAAAACCAGUAUGCAGUUAACUGAAAACAAGAAGGAAAACAUGAAAUCUUCUCUCUCUCUCUUCGAUACACUUGCAGAAGUAGGACAUAAUAAGUUUAUCUUCCAAGCACCUCCUCUCUCACUCGCGUAUCUCUCUCAAAUUUCAUGACUUAGUUUUAUGGUGGAUGUGGUGGCCAGAAAAGUUAUGCAGUUGAAGCGUGGCUCCCACUGUGGCCGAUGUUAGAGGAGAGUAGAAGAGCAAGGUUAUUGUGUGAGUUGCGGUUUGGAAGCGAAAAUGGAUGGGGAUAGCUUCGUACAUAGUUGCCGGUAAGGUUAAGAUUAAGAUGAUGAUUCUGACGUGGCUUAUGGUUGGUUUUUUUGUGGGUUGUAGGAGGUUGUAUAUAUGGUUUAGUUGAAGGUGGAGGUGUUGCUCUUUGCAGCGUUUAUAUUUAGUGUAGGAAGUUUGAGAGUUUUAAUGGUGAGGCUGAAGAAGGUGUGUUUGAAGAGAGAUUUGGAGGUGUGAAAAUGGUGGAGGGUUUCACUGUCGAAGUUGUUGUUUGUGUUGUCACAUUUUUUUUCUUUUUAGGGAAGAAGGGAGGGAAGAUGCAGAGAGAAAGAAUAUGGUUUGUGUGUAUAGUUUAGAUGGAGAGAUUUAGUUGUGUUUAUGGUUUGUGAUGGAAAAGUUUGUUUUCAUGGUUUGUUAUGGUUGUGUGAAAAGUAAAUGAAAUUGAGUGUGUUGUCUUGUAUAGUUUGUUAGUUUUGUUGAUAAUAUGGUUCAGAAGUUGUCGGUUAGGAAACAUGAUUGACAGGUUAUGGCGGCGAAGGAAAAACUCAUGGUGGUGAAAAUAUGAGGUGAUUGUUUUGAUGAGUUUUAAAGGUUGUUACAAGUGUGGAGGAGGUUGGUGUUUGUUGAGG